RNAcentral lists this ribosomal RNA (564 nucleotides) under Neoscytalidium dimidiatum. RNAcentral's name for it is "partial 28S ribosomal RNA". It matches the Rfam family "Eukaryotic large subunit ribosomal RNA", at positions 74 to 651 of the family's 3401-position model. Lineage: Eukaryota; Fungi; Ascomycota; Dothideomycetes; Botryosphaeriales; Botryosphaeriaceae. The record is from RNAcentral.
AUUGCCUCAGUAACGGCGAGUGAAGCGGCAACAGCUCAAAUUUGAAAGCUGGCCCCCCCCGGGGGUCCGCGUUGUAAUUUGUAGAGGAUGAUUCGGCGAGGGCUCCCGCCUAAGUCCCCUGGAACGGGGCGUCAUAGAGGGUGAGAAUCCCGUAUGCGGUGGGCUGCCUUAGCCAUGUGAAUCUCCUUCGACGAGUCGAGUUGUUUGGGAAUGCAGCUCUAAAUGGGAGGUAAAUUUCUUCUAAAGCUAAAUACCGGCCAGAGACCGAUAGCGCACAAGUAGAGUGAUCGAAAGAUGAAAAGCACUUUGGAAAGAGAGUUAAAAAGUACGUGAAAUUGUUGAAAGGGAAGCGCUUGCAGCCAGACUUGCCCGCAGUUGCUCAGCCGGUCUCCUGACCGGCGCACUCUUCUGCGGCCAGGCCAGCAUCAGUUCGGGCGGUCGGAUAAAGGCCCCGGGAACGUAGCUCCUCUCGGGGAGUGUUAUAGCCCGGGGUGGAAUGCGGCCAGCCUGGACUGAGGAUCUCGCUUCGGCUAGGAUGCUGGCGUAAUGGCUGUAAGCGGCCCG